RNAcentral lists this ribosomal RNA (396 nucleotides) under uncultured bacterium. Its description in RNAcentral is "bacterial SSU rRNA". It matches the Rfam family "Bacterial small subunit ribosomal RNA", at positions 521 to 916 of the family's 1533-position model. The record is from RNAcentral.
UAAUACGUAGGGUGCGAGCGUUAAUCGGAAUUACUGGGCGUAAAGCGUGCGCAGGCGGGCUUUUAAGCCAGACGUGAAAUCCCCGGGCUUAACCUGGGAAUGGCGUUUGGGACUGGAAGUCUGGAGUGCGGCAGAGGAGACUGGAAUUCCUGGUGUAGCAGUGAAAUGCGUAGAUAUCAGGAGGAACACCGAUGGCGAAGGCAGGUCUCUGGGCUGACACUGACGCUCAUGCACGAAAGCGUGGGGAGCAAACAGGAUUAGAUACCCUGGUAGUCCACGCCCUAAACGAUGUCGACUGGUUGUUGGGGGUUUGACACUCUCAGUAACGAAGCUAACGCGUGAAGUCGACCGCCUGGGGAGUACGGCCGCAAGGUUAAAACUUAAAGGAAUUGACGG